This 438-nucleotide ribosomal RNA is filed under the name uncultured Phenylobacterium sp. RNAcentral describes it as "bacterial SSU rRNA". It matches the Rfam family "Bacterial small subunit ribosomal RNA", at positions 8 to 492 of the family's 1533-position model. Lineage: Bacteria; Pseudomonadati; Pseudomonadota; Alphaproteobacteria; Caulobacterales; Caulobacteraceae. The record is from RNAcentral.
AGAGUUUGAUCCUGGCUCAGAACGAACGCUGGCGGCAGGCCUAACACAUGCAAGUCGAGCGCCCCCGCAAGGGGGAGCGGCGGACGGGUGAGUAACGCGUGGGAAUUUUCCUCAAGGUACGGAACAACUCAGGGAAACUUGGGCUAAUACCGUAUGAUGUCUAGCGACCAAAGAUUUAUCGCCUUGGGAUAAGCCCGCGUCAGAUUAGGUAGUUGGUGGGGUAACGGCCUACCAAGCCUGCGAUCUGUAGCUGGUCUGAGAGGACGAUCAGCCACACUGGGACUGAGACACGGCCCAGACUCCUACGGGAGGCAGCAGUGGGGAAUCUUGCGCAAUGGGCGAAAGCCUGACGCAGCCAUGCCGCGUGAAUGAUGAAGGUCUUAGGAUUGUAAAGUUCUUUCGCUCGUGACGAUGAUGACGGUAACGAGAGAAGAGCCC